This 2353-nucleotide long non-coding RNA is filed under the name Homo sapiens (human). RNAcentral's name for it is "HSALNT0403996". Lineage: Eukaryota; Metazoa; Chordata; Mammalia; Primates; Hominidae. The record is from RNAcentral.
AUAGAGAAAGAAAAGUGGGCCCAGUGGACCGGCGCUCAGCAUACGGAGCACAAAUCCUAUUUAAACUACAGAUUCUAAACACAAAUGAUUUUAUUCACCCCUGCCCCCCAACACUAAAAGAUUUAAACACUAACAUAGUUUCUAACAGCUGUAAACUAAACAAAUCCUAAGCCCCUACUGACUGAAUGGAACCCCUUUUGGCCAAGAUGGCCCCAGAAAAAAACUUAGAAACUUAGUUCCCAGCCCUGAUGGAAUGUGAGGUCAGACAUGCCUCAUUAUACCCUCUCUCUUUUACAGUUUAGAUACAACUGGCCAGCAUUGAUGUUAAAAUAGAGACCAUGAGACUGAUGGAACAGACUUUUUGUGGCAAUAAGAUACAAAAAUUAUAAACAAGACCUAAGGCCAUUCCAGGAAAGAUCCAAGAGGCCCUUUGCCAAUUCCAACUGGAACAUCCAACAUCGGACACUAAUCCAGCCAACUGCCAUAACUACAGCUUUGAUUAGACAAGAGACUGAUUUCAACAACUUUCUCCUGAUAAGAAGAUCAUGGACUAUGGAAUGGACUGGUUCUGGUUUACAGAGGCUGUGUACUUGCGUGCCUUGAUGUCCUGAAAGACCUUUUGACAGAUAGGGCCUAAUGAAUCCAGACAAGGUGCUACAUAUUGGAGGCUCUUCACACAUACCACCAGAAUCAAGACCCAGAUGUAAGAGAGACAACAAUACAAAACCAUCCAAGUAGAGCUUAAUUCACAGGCUUUAAAUUAUGCUUUUCAAAAACAAAUUUUCAAAAAGUUUCCCAUAGUCAAACCCAUCAGACAUUUAUGAUUCUUCCCCUAUUUUUAUGCUUAUAAAAGAAAGCAUUUUCCCCUACUGAAAAUAAAACUUUUACUUUUGUUUUCUUUUAGUUGUUUUAUGGAUUCAUUUAUAAAUCACUGUUUCUCUCUCUUCGGAAAUUAUUUAGUGUAUGUUGUAAGGGAUCUUUUUUCUUUCCAAUCAUUAUGCCCUUUCCCCAGUGCUAAUUUUGGAAUAAUUCUUUCCCUCACUAGUUGUUAAACCACCUUUAUCAUACAGUAAAUUCUUGUUAAUAUAUAUUUUAUAUAUUUUCCGGAGCAUCCUGCCUAAUGUACCUGUCAAUUCUUAUGUUGGUUCCAGUCCUAAAAAAAUAAAUCAGACUCAAACUCAUGAUUCAUAGUCCUCAUAGGAUUUGCCUUUUGAAACAGCAGGACCCUCACCCUGUCCAAAGUUCCCUGUACACCAUGUGCUAUUGCUGACUGGCCCUCUUAAUAAAUUUAAUCCAUCCACUCUAACACUAACUCACACCAGCUACAGAAGACAGUAGCUAGUGCAGUGGAGAGAACCCAGCCAAUGACAGACCCAACACGCACACACUGGGAUAGGAAAGAAAAUCCAAAACAGAGCUCUGAAUUAUCCUGAGUGGAAAAAAAAAAACCAAAAACAAAAUACUACAAACUGUAUGACUCCAUCUAUGUAACAUUUUUGAAACAACAAACUUGUAGAAAUGGUGAACAGAUUAGUGGUUGCCAUGAAUUAGAGUUGGUUUGGGGAGUAACAGAGAGGUAUGUUUGGUGAUAAAAGUGCAACAGGAGGGCUCUUUGUGCUAAUAGAAACAUUUUCAUUUAACUAUAGUGGUGGAUACACAAACCAACAUUUGAUAAAAUUAUAUAGGACUAAAUACAUACACAAAGUACACAUCAAACUGGGGAAAUCUGAGUAUGAUUGGUGGACUGUUUUGUUGUCAAUAUCUUCACUGUGAUGUUGUACUAUACUUUUGCAAUAUGUUACUAUUGAGUGAAACUGAGUAAAGGGUAAGGAAUCUCUGUAUUAUUUCUUACAACUGCAUGUGACUCUAUAAUUAGCUCGACAAAAAUUUCAGUUGAAAAAAAGCAAGGGUCUUUCCUUGAUUAUUAACUUGUUUUAAAGCAACUGAUUGGAAACCUACCUUGAAAUUGCAAUGUAAUUGCAAUCUAUUUAAAGCAGUGGUGUUCAACAGACCUUUCUGCAAGGAUGGAAAUAUCCUAAAUCUGUACUGCCCAAUACAGUGACCACUAACACAUGCACAUAUUGAGCACUGGAGAUGUGGCUAGUGCAACUAAAAAACUGAAUUACAAAUUUUGCUUAAUUUGAAUUUAUGUUUAAAUGGCCACCUGUGAUAGUGGCAACCUAUGGGACAGCACAGAAAUGAAACUUGACCUUAUUCCCAAUUCCCUUGUAAGUAGGAAGGAGGAACACUCACUUUGAAACCAUGCAAUUGUCCCAUAGGACAGAUGUUUAUGGUCUCUUUUUUUUUCCUUUUUUUUUUUUUUGAGAGGGAGUCACUCUGUUGCCCAGGCUGG